AAGGCUAUAAAAGUGUUAGGAGACACGGUGGCAUCACACAGACAGACUCCUGCGCUACCUUGGAUAAUACAUCGUCAUCUUCAAGUCAGAUUUAAAGUCCUUAUAAUUCUCGGAAUCAUGGCAUCCAAGCUCUUACUCGUCCUCGCCUUCGCUUCCAUCGCUCUCAUUCUGGUGGCAUCAGCUGCUGAUGAGUUCGACGUCGAGGUGGUGAAUGAUGACGGGUAUAAGCGAGAUCCCGACCUCAUCAUCGGAAUGGAGGAUAUGUCAAAGAGAGGAAAGAGUAAGGGAGGACGCCCAUUCGUUUUUCCUUACGGAUGGAGAUACAGUGGAAAGAAGUAAUAUCAUAAAACACGCAACUGCAUAUGAUCGUAUCAGCACAUUAUGAGUGGACUGGUGAUUUAUUAAUUUCCCGAUGCCGUUGAGCAAACACUUUGCUUUGGACGCCAUUCACCAACCUUCAUUUUAUUUUCAUCUUGUCAUGUUCACAUUUAUUCCAAUGAAAGGCAACAUACACAUUUCAGUGUACUGUAUC
Lytechinus variegatus (green sea urchin) is the source of this 532-nucleotide long non-coding RNA. RefSeq lists it as uncharacterized. The record is from RefSeq and is a predicted model, not a curated record. NCBI's taxonomy places the organism in Eukaryota, Metazoa, Echinodermata, Echinoidea, Temnopleuroida, Toxopneustidae. The transcript is spliced from 4 exons.